CAUAUACUCCCUUCGUCCUAAAAUUAUUGUCUUAGAUUUGUGUAGAUAUAAAUGUAUGUAGUCACGUUUUAGUAUUUAAAUACAUCCUUUUCUAGACAAACCUAAAACAAGAAUUUUGAGACAAAGAGAGUAUAAG
Molecule: microRNA precursor, 136 nt
Filed under: Hordeum vulgare
Lineage: Eukaryota; Viridiplantae; Streptophyta; Magnoliopsida; Poales; Poaceae
Description: microRNA MIR1122
Rfam family: MIR1120/MIR1122 microRNA precursor family
Source: RNAcentral